Molecule: ribosomal RNA, 273 nt
Filed under: uncultured bacterium
Lineage: Bacteria
Description: partial 16S ribosomal RNA
Rfam family: Bacterial small subunit ribosomal RNA
Source: RNAcentral
UACGGAGGGUGCAAGCGUUAUCCGGAUUCACUGGGUUUAAAGGGUGCGUAGGUGGGUUGGUAAGUCAGUGGUGAAAUCCCCGAGCUUAACUUGGGAACUGCCAUUGAUACUAUCAGUCUUGAAUACCGUGGAGGUCAGCGGAAUAUGUCAUGUAGCGGUGAAAUGCUUAGAUAUGACAUAGAACACCAAUUGCGAAGGCAGCUGGCUACACGAAUAUUGACACUGAGGCACGAAAGCGUGGGGAUCAAACAGGAUUAGAAACCCCCGUAGUCC